Molecule: long non-coding RNA, 548 nt
Organism: Dermacentor albipictus
Lineage: Eukaryota; Metazoa; Arthropoda; Arachnida; Ixodida; Ixodidae
Source: RefSeq, a predicted model, not a curated record
ACGUCUGUCAUUUUUGCAUAAGUUAAAAGUUCUCCGUCUCUUAUUCCACAACAUUUUGGUGCCGAAACCUGGGAAUAGGGACGUCAAAAGAUGGAUAUCGACAGAAUCAAGCGAAGAAGGGCCGUGAUGCGAACAUCUACAACCAAGCUGCUCAAUGAAGUAUCCACCAUGGACGGCAGCGCAUCAAUCGCAGUUUGCUUUCUUGGCUGUCUGCACUACGCAACCUCCCCUGCAGAUCCGGCUGCGUACACGUGCCUGCAGGAGCGUUGAUCCGCCCCUUCUGCUGCAAGCGGGGUGCCAUCAGCAGCUAGCGACCAUCUGCAGCCUGGGCCCCGACGUCACGUACCCGAGCUUCAAAUGGAGCUGUUCACCGACGGAAUCUUCACUUGGCGGCAGCGACGGCUUACUGCAAGCAGCAACUUAGCGCGUCUCUGCCUUUUUGCAGCAGACCUACGAGACAAGUGGAAACAAGCCCUUGGCUUCACUUUUGACUGGAAACACGUUCGCAUGUGUGAAAAAAAUGUUGAUGUCGAAGACGUCAUUUUUGC